Long non-coding RNA from Ostrea edulis (European flat oyster), 1442 nucleotides. RefSeq lists it as uncharacterized. NCBI's taxonomy places the organism in Eukaryota, Metazoa, Mollusca, Bivalvia, Ostreida, Ostreidae. The transcript is spliced from 2 exons. The record is from RefSeq and is a predicted model, not a curated record.
UUAACCCAAUAUAUUUUAAUUUUAUUGUUAUAAAAUAAUCGAUAGUGUGUGCACGAAGUGACGAAUUCUGCGAUUAUUUCUGGACAUUGUGAAUUUAAGACAGAAUUCAGUAUCUACAGUUUAUUUUCUAUUCAUUCAUUCGUUUGGUCUUGACAUGGGUGUGGAUAUAUGUGUAAACCACGCCUCGCUGACACAAGAUUUGGGAACCAUUCGCCUGAAGAAAAAAAAAAAGGAAUUGCACUCAUGAUACUAGUAUGCGAUCGCGGCCAUGACACUGCUCAAGUCCGUAAUAGGAGUUAUUAUCCUUUGCGAGCAUACCUAAUUAUUAUCUUGUGUCGUUUCCACGUUGCAACAAGUGCUAUUAAAGGACAGAACUGGAGAACUGUUCAUUCGAUUCGUGAGUUGCAGUGGGGAUGGAUUAUACAUUUCGUGUGUACAAGAUUAAAGCCGGAGAAUAGACAGACUAUCCUACUUAGAGGUGUAGGUCCUCCGAGAAUAGACAGACUAUCCUACUUAGAGGUAUAGGUCCUCGGAGAAUAGACAGACUAUCCUACUUAGAGGUAUAGGUCCUCGGAGAAUAGACAGACUCUCCUACCUAGAGGUAUAGGUCCUCCGAGAAUAGACAGACUAUCCUACUUAGAGGUAUAGGUCCUCGGAGAAUAGACAGACUAUCCUACAUAGAUGGAGGUAAAAGUCCCAGGAGAAUUUCCCGCUUCUUUAAGCUAUUAAUGUAUAUGUAUGAUUGAUUGAUGUUUUCCGCCACACUCAACAAUUUUCAGUUAUCUGGUGGCGCCCAGUUUUUAUUGGUGGAAGAGAGAACCCAGAUACAAUGUACCUGGGAAGAGACCACCGACCUUUCGAAAGUAAACUGGGAAACUUUCUCACUUACUGGGGCGCGAACGGGAUUCGAACCCGCGCCGACAGAGGUGAUUAACGUAUAUGUAUGAUUAUUCAGAAAAACAACCAUGUUGUAUCUGUUUACAAUAUGUGGUAACAAAAUACAUGUUUAUAUAUAUAUAUAUAUAUGAUCCAAAUAGAAAGAGUUGAUAUCACACAGUCAAAAUAAUUCAAUAAAAAAAGCAGGAAAAUAUACAGUUCCAAAAUAUAUUUAAAUAUAUUUAAAUUCUUAAGAAAGCGCUAGUGAUUUAAAUAUAUUUUGGAACUGUAUAUUUUCCUGCUUUUUUUAUUGAAUUAUAUAUAUAUAUAUAUAUAUAUAUACAUGGAUAUAUAUUAUUAUUAUUAUCAUAUGUAUGAGCUUUUGUUUUGCCAUGGUAUUUUCAAUCAAUACUAUAUUAUAGUAUGCAUGCGUGUUAUAAUUCUUUAUGCGGUUUUCACUUUUUUCAGAUUUAUUUAUAUUGAUGAUUUAUAUAAUUUGGUGGCAAAAGCAGGUUGUUGAGUAUUUCGUUCUUGUUAUGUUUCUAAUAAACUUUUAAUAUGCGAUU